Dioscorea cayenensis subsp. rotundata (Guinea yam) is the source of this 107-nucleotide small nucleolar RNA. The record is from RefSeq and is a predicted model, not a curated record. NCBI's taxonomy places the organism in Eukaryota, Viridiplantae, Streptophyta, Magnoliopsida, Dioscoreales, Dioscoreaceae.
AAUCCCUGUUGCGAACACUUCCACAAUAUGUCCUUGAAACUCUGCCAUGUCUCAAACAAUGAUUCGAGCUCCAUCUAUAAAAAUGAGGAUAUCACAUUACGAAGCCU